This 508-nucleotide ribosomal RNA is filed under the name Glomus sp. Glo3. Its description in RNAcentral is "SSU rRNA". It matches the Rfam family "Eukaryotic small subunit ribosomal RNA", at positions 569 to 1078 of the family's 1831-position model. Lineage: Eukaryota; Fungi; Glomeromycota; Glomeromycetes; Glomerales; Glomeraceae. The record is from RNAcentral. RNAcentral also lists the same sequence under 1 other name.
AGCAGCUGCGGUAAUUCCAGCUCCAAUAGCGUAUAUUAAAGUUGUUGCAGUUAAAAAGCUCGUAGUUGAAUUUCGGGGUCAGUAGGUCGGUCGUGCCACUGGUAUGAACUGGUUUUACUGAUUCCUCCCUCUUGAAGAACUGUAAUGCCAUUAAUUUGGUGUUGCAGGGAAUCAGGACUGUUACUUUGAAAAAAUUAGAGUGUUUAAAGCAGGCUUUAGCUUGAAUACAUUAGCAUGGAAUAAUGAAAUAGGACGUUUGAUCCUAUUUUGUUGGUUUCUAGGAUUGACGUAAUGAUUAAUAGGGAUAGUUGGGGGCAUUAGUAUUCAAUUGUCAGAGGUGAAAUUCUUGGAUUUAUUGAAGACUAACUACUGCGAAAGCAUUUGCCAAGGAUGUUUUCAUUAAUCAAGAACGAAAGUUAGGGGAUCGAAGACGAUCAGAUACCGUCGUAGUCUUAACCAUAAACUAUGCCGACUAGGGAUCGGAUGAUGUUAAUUUUUUAAUGACUCA